RNAcentral lists this long non-coding RNA (829 nucleotides) under Homo sapiens (human). Its description in RNAcentral is "HSALNT0169562". The record is from RNAcentral. Lineage: Eukaryota; Metazoa; Chordata; Mammalia; Primates; Hominidae.
AGAGUGGAAGUGCUAGAUCACUUAGUCUCUGCAGUAAUCCAAGUGACAAAUAAUGGUGGCUUGGAAUAGGGGUAUAGCAGGGGAGUCUGGAAUGAAGCAAACUUUUGGGGACUUGUUUAGGAGGUAGUAUCAGUGGUAGCUAGCUAAUCUGUUUUGUAGCCUGAUAAUCUUGGACAAUGUGUUUAUAAUCAUGGAAGGUUGUGGUGCAUUAGCAAGAGGGUACUGGAGUCAGAACUGGGGUUCACUUCCUAGCCUUGUGACCCUGGACGAGAUGUUUCACCUCUCCUGAAGGCACAGAUUCUUUUUUUUUUUUUUCCUGGGCAACAGAGCGAGACUCUGUCUCAAAAAAAAAAAAAAAAAAAAGAUAUGGGGUACUUUAAGAGGGAAGGUACCUGAGGAUUCAAUGAAGUUACUGUUCUUUACCUAAAGCUCCGUACAAAACUUAAGUUGAUGUUACAUCAAGCUGGCGAGUGUUCGUGAUGUUAAUGGGUUUUGAAGUGAUCAGUUUUAGCCCUCCACUUAAAGAUAGGUAAGCCAUUAUGGUCCCCAUUUUUUCAGAUGUGAGGCUUGGGUUCUAAGGCUUUGGCUAGUAUUUCAGAUGUAAGAGAGGGAGAGGGACUCAAACUCACAUUUUGAAAGUGCAGUACAUUUCCUUCCUUCCUUUCCUUCUGUCUUUCUUUCUUUCAUGGAUUCUCACUCUGUCGCCCAGGCUGGAGUGCAGUGGUGCAACCUUGGCUCACUGCAGCCUCCUCCUCCUGGGUUCAAGCAAUUCUCCUGCCUCAGCCUCCUGAGUAGCUGGGAUUAUAGGUACCCACCACCAUAUCCAGCU